CCCCUCUCAGGGUCGCACCUGGAGAGUUUCCAGUACCCUACCGGUCUUGAUUAUGAGAGGGAGAGUCAAGCAGAAGCCUGACCAUUCCAUUCCUAGUUUGGCCAAUGACUAGCAAGAGGAAGGCAAUCUGCUACAAGU
This is a small nucleolar RNA of Ornithorhynchus anatinus (platypus), 138 nucleotides long. NCBI's taxonomy places the organism in Eukaryota, Metazoa, Chordata, Mammalia, Monotremata, Ornithorhynchidae. The record is from RefSeq and is a predicted model, not a curated record.